Molecule: transfer RNA, 70 nt
Filed under: Marmota monax (woodchuck)
Lineage: Eukaryota; Metazoa; Chordata; Mammalia; Rodentia; Sciuridae
Description: tRNA.Ala
Source: RNAcentral
GCUGGGGCUCAGUGGUAGAGCACUUGUCUAGCACGCAUGAAUUGAACUGGGCUCGAUUCUCAGCACCGCA